This is a long non-coding RNA of Hylaeus anthracinus, 1114 nucleotides long. RefSeq lists it as uncharacterized. The transcript has 4 exons. Lineage: Eukaryota; Metazoa; Arthropoda; Insecta; Hymenoptera; Colletidae. The record is from RefSeq and is a predicted model, not a curated record.
AGCUCCACCUCCGCUGUUCUUGCGGCUGUGUGUCCUCUUGGAGUCGAGGAACCCUUCGAGGGACAACUCACGCGUUACUAAACUUUUAUGAAUCGUAUUCGACUGUUUCGGUCGGUGAAAGAUGAAAAUUUCUGAUAGCACGCAACAGGUAUCAUCGUUCGGCUAAACGAAGCGAGACGGUGGUCGUAACGACUUCUAUCUUUUUCGGAGCUGACAAGUUUUUUUUUUUUUUUUUUUUUUCAACGGAGCUAUCCGAAAAUAAUAUUCCACGAUUGAGACAAAAAAUCUGAUUAUGCAUGCAUGCCAUGUGCGAGCGUGUAAAAUGUAUGUACUUACCGUAGAAGUUUAAGUCACGUUUGUGUAAUUUUACUUCGUUAAACUACGCGAUGCAUUAUGGUGAAUUUAAAAUUGCAAUUUUUGCAAAUUGAAUAAAGCGUGGUAAUUUUUCUAUCGAGAUAAUUGUUUACACCUCCUAUACCGGAUAUCGUUUUAACAAAGUCUGACACUUACGUAUUUGAAAAGAAACUUUAGCGAAAUUGUGUUACAUUAGGUAUCGGAAUGAAACGAACCGUACAAUGCCUUAAUAAUUUGUAAAAGAAAGACUUUGCGAGUGAAUAAAAUGUAAACUCAUUUCAUGAAAGUAGAUGCGAACUUAACAGUACCAGAUGUAUUUCAGAUUCGUCCGACUAAAUUGGAAUGUUAAUGUUGCGUAUUGACAUUGACACUGAUAACACAGGCGCGUUUGAUAUCAGUUGAGUGAAAUGUUGGAAGAUGAAAUUCUAUUCAAUUCUGCGGUAAGUUCUACGAUUCGGUAUGAAGAAUUAGCGUUAAGAAAUGAGGACAGGGAAUCGUGACAAACGUAACAAUAACAUUUAAAUAAUCGCUUAAAGCAGUAAUGCGCAACCUGAAGGCUCCACAAAUUUCUCAAAUAUUUGUUGAUUCUACCGUCGUUAUUGUUUUACAAGGUGAUACACGGGUACUGUUUUCUUACGAAGCUUUGACACGCAAUAGUUCGAGCAGCUACAAUCGGAAAGUGAAAUGCUACUAUAACCGCGAGAAUGUUCCGACCAGGGAUAGAGAAAUUACGUGUGUGAAAGGCCUUUGCCAAUAAAUG